UCCCUGGUAGUAUAUCGGUUAGUACACGCGCCUGUCAUUAGGUGGUGGCGUUCGCGCGAAAGCUGGGUUCGACUCCCAGCCAGGGAG
RNAcentral lists this transfer RNA (87 nucleotides) under Lentinula aciculospora. RNAcentral describes it as "tRNA-Asp". It matches the Rfam family "tRNA". Rfam says of the family: Transfer RNA (tRNA) molecules are approximately 80 nucleotides in length. The record is from RNAcentral. Lineage: Eukaryota; Fungi; Basidiomycota; Agaricomycetes; Agaricales; Omphalotaceae.